RNAcentral lists this ribosomal RNA (425 nucleotides) under uncultured bacterium. RNAcentral describes it as "partial 16S ribosomal RNA". It matches the Rfam family "Bacterial small subunit ribosomal RNA", at positions 354 to 796 of the family's 1533-position model. The record is from RNAcentral.
GUGGGGAAUAUUGGACAAUGGGCGCAAGCCUGAUCCAGCCAUGCCGCGUGAGUGAUGAAGGCCCUAGGGUUGUAAAGCUCUUUCACCGGUGAAGAUAAUGACGGUAACCGGAGAAGAAGCCCCGGCUAACUUCGUGCCAGCAGCCGCGGUAAUACGAAGGGGGCUAGCGUUGUUCGGAAUUACUGGGCGUAAAGCGCACGUAGGCGGACAUUUAAGUCAGGGGUGAAAUCCCGGGGCUCAACCCCGGAACUGCCUUUGAUACUGGGUGUCUGGAGUAUGGAAGAGGUAAGUGGAAUUCCGAGUGUAGAGGUGAAAUUCGUAGAUAUUCGGAGGAACACCAGUGGCGAAGGCGGCUUACUGGUCCAUCACUGACGCUGAGGUGCGAAAGCGUGGGGAGCAAACAGGAUUAGAUACCCUAGUAGUCC